AUGGAUCCUGGUCAGGUUCGUUACCACGGAGCCACGACGGGGAGUCCCCUGACCCAUUCUUUACCAGGCAGAGCGGACACUAAAACAACCUGUAAGAAUGUGAAAAGGUUGUGUGACUGGACGUCCCUCUUGCUUGCUUUAUUUGGAAGCAUAAGCAGAGUGGCAUCCCGUCGUGCCCCAGCCUGGGCUGUGCCCGCAGUGCCCGGAAGCUCAAAAUGGAGGCCAGAAGCCAAGUCCACCAGUCACCCUGACUGCAAAUGGGCUGGGGCGCCAUCCCUGGCAUCCUGGGGUCCUUCCGCUGCAGCUCAGCCUUCACGUUCACAGCCAGGACCUCCGGGCAAGGGCUGGAGGUGGAGACAGGGCGGCGCCUGGGCUCGCUUUUCACACCAGAAGUUACAUAACAGAGCAAAACUUGGACUGGCCCGUGUCCCGGGAGACCUCCAGCUUGUUUCUGUCCCGGACAAGGAUGGCCUCGUUCCCGUACUGAGAGUACCACAUGCUUCGGCUCCGGCUCAGGGAAACGUAAGAGGAGCCUCGGAGCAUGUUCUGAAGAGACACCCAAGAACCACACGAGAGAUGACAGCAAGCAGAUCAGCAGUGUCCUGGCCACAGUUUCCUGGGGACAGUCAGGUAUGCCCUUUAUUAGGACAAUGCACCCUCCUGGGGGGGGGUCUUGUCAGGUGUCCACUGCAAUUCUGAUACCACCCCUUGGACCGCUUAACUUGAAAAGAUGGAUCUGAAGGGAUGCUGUCCAGCGAGGCGGAAGUCGACAGCAGCUGCUCCAAGCGGCCUCUGCUGCUCUGUGCUUGGACCGGCUUUCAGCACAGCACAGGCGCUCUGAUUCUUGCCAGGAAUCUGGAACCAGCAUGUGUUCUGUGCUUUUUUUUUUUCCCUCUCCCCUGGCUGGUCUUCAGCUCUUCCCAAGGGGUUGCUACAAAGAAAUGAACACGCUGUCAUGUUGGGGAGGAAAGGGCCAUGGUGGCAACAGCAGGUUCUCAACGCUCUGGGGAUAAGAGCGUUAAGCCCAGCUACCAACACAUUUCACCACUUCAAGGGCGCCCUGGUGAGGCAGACCCUGGGACUGGGUUUAAGGGGUAGGUGCUUCAAUCCCAGAUCUUUUAUUGGCUAAGAACUGGGGGAUCUGGGGGAAAGGCUUGUUGGGGUGUUAGCAUCUGGAUCCGACAGGGCACGGGUCGCGGGGCUCAGAACUGACCUGCCCAUGAUAGGGGUACACCAGCGCCUUCUGCCGCAAGCAUCCGGGAGGCCGCUGGACCAGAAAGAAAAAUGACGUCAGGCAAAACCCAAACAGCGCAGCAUCCACAGCUGCCCCCCGCCCCAUGCUUUCGCAGGCAAGCAAGCUCACUUCUCCUUGCGUGUGGCCUGUGCCCCGUCGCCCAGCCCCGUUCCCACUACCCGCGGCCGCUGAACCCCCGGUGGACCGGCCCACGCCCAGGAUGCCCCCACAGCACGCCCCCACUGCCUCCCCAGCAUCCCGCCCUCCCCCAACGCCGCCCCCGUCACCUAACCCGCGCCCCCCCGCCCCCGUCGUCGCCGCCCGGGCCACCCGCGCGGUGCGGCCUCAGGGAUGCGCUGGCCGCCCGACGGGGCGGUGCCAGCUGGCCGCGGGUCCGCGUCUCCAUGGCAGCGCCGCAGGCAUGCCGAGCCGAGC
This 1669-nucleotide long non-coding RNA is filed under the name Sus scrofa (pig). RNAcentral describes it as "lncRNA (ENSSSCG00035007802.1)". Lineage: Eukaryota; Metazoa; Chordata; Mammalia; Artiodactyla; Suidae. The record is from RNAcentral.